Molecule: ribosomal RNA, 261 nt
Filed under: uncultured bacterium
Lineage: Bacteria
Description: partial 16S ribosomal RNA
Rfam family: Bacterial small subunit ribosomal RNA
Source: RNAcentral
CGAACGGGUGAGUAACACGUGGGCAACCUGCCCAAAAGAGGGGGAUAACACUUGGAAACAGGUGCUAAUACCGCAUAACCAUAGUUACCGCAUGGUAACUAUGUAAAAAGUGGCUAUGCUACCGCUUUUGGAUGGGCCCGCGACGCAUUAGCUAGUUGGUGGGGUAAAGGCUUACCAAGGCAAUGAUGCGUAGCCGAACUGAGAGGUUGAUCGGCCACAUUGGGACUGAGACACGGCCCAAACUCCUACGGGAGGCAGCAG